UUGUUUCCGAGAAACAGAUACUUGACUGGUGUGAUCAACUGAUUUUACUCGUUUACCCCACUCGGUUCAGGAAGCCUCAAUUUUGGCCUGAAACCCCUGAGAAAUUGAAGUAGGUAUUGUUAGAGUAUAUGAAAGUAUCUUGAUAUAUAAUGUUUUAGUAUCUUAGUUUAUCUAGUAGAAUUAAUUACUUUCUUACUUUCAAGUAUUUGUUGAUGGACUUCAUCUAUUAACACAGAGAUACAAUCGAGGCAUAUUCAAGCGAAAUUAAACGAGUUGGUGAGGAACUUAUCAAUUCUCUGUCAUUAAUUUUC
RNAcentral lists this long non-coding RNA (311 nucleotides) under Medicago truncatula (barrel medic). RNAcentral's name for it is "long non-coding RNA (MTRU_LNC005186)". Lineage: Eukaryota; Viridiplantae; Streptophyta; Magnoliopsida; Fabales; Fabaceae. The record is from RNAcentral.